Molecule: small RNA, 541 nt
Filed under: Pan troglodytes (chimpanzee)
Lineage: Eukaryota; Metazoa; Chordata; Mammalia; Primates; Hominidae
Description: processed transcript
Source: RNAcentral
UGGCCUCGGCCAUCUUUGCUCCCACCUCAUACAUUGCAUCCCUUUCAAGUCGGCCUUGGCCCUGGGCCUCACGCAGGCCCUCCCCACCCUCUCUCGUCUCCCCAGGGACCCCCACAGAAGAGACGUGGCCCGGCGUGACCGCCUUCUCUGAGUUCCGCACCUACAGCUUCCCCUGCUACCUCCCGCAGCCGCUCAUCAACCACGCGCCCAGGUUGGAUACGGAUGGCAUCCACCUCCUGAGCAGCCUGCUCCUGCUGCCUCCAUCUUCUCCCUGAAGGAGAUCCAGCUCCAGAAGGACCCAGGCUACCGAGGCUUGGCCUUCCAGCAGCCAGGACGAGGGAAGAACAGGCGGCAGAGCAUCUUCUGAGCCACGCCCACCUUGCUGUGGCCAAGGGACAAGAGAUCACAUGGAGCACAAAUUCGGGUAGGAUGGAGCCUGUGUGGCCCUCGGAGGACUGAAGAACGAGGGCUGACAGCCAGCCUGGAAGACCGCUUGGCAGCCCUUCUGGCCACGGCUGUUUCUUCUUUGUGCUUCCCGUGU